Molecule: ribosomal RNA, 2923 nt
Filed under: Klebsiella pneumoniae
Lineage: Bacteria; Pseudomonadati; Pseudomonadota; Gammaproteobacteria; Enterobacterales; Enterobacteriaceae
Description: bacterial LSU rRNA
Rfam family: Bacterial large subunit ribosomal RNA
Source: RNAcentral
GGGUUGUGAGGUUAAGCGACUAAGCGUACACGGUGGAUGCCCUGGCAGUCAGAGGCGAUGAAGGACGUGCUAAUCUGCGAAAAGCGUCGGUAAGGUGAUAUGAACCGUUAUAACCGGCGAUGUCCGAAUGGGGAAACCCAGUGUGAUUCGUCACACUAUCGUUAACUGAAUACAUAGGUUAACGAGGCGAACCGGGGGAACUGAAACAUCUAAGUACCCCGAGGAAAAGAAAUCAACCGAGAUUCCCCCAGUAGCGGCGAGCGAACGGGGAGCAGCCCAGAGUCUGAAUCAGCUUGUGUGUUAGUGGAACGGUCUGGAAAGUCCGACGGUACAGGGUGAUAGUCCCGUACACCAAAAUGCACAGGUUGUGAACUCGAAGAGUAGGGCGGGACACGUGGUAUCCUGUCUGAAUAUGGGGGGACCAUCCUCCAAGGCUAAAUACUCCUGACUGACCGAUAGUGAACCAGUACCGUGAGGGAAAGGCGAAAAGAACCCCGGCGAGGGGAGUGAAAAAGAACCUGAAACCGUGUACGUACAAGCAGUGGGAGCACCUUCGGGUGUGACUGCGUACCUUUUGUAUAAUGGGUCAGCGACUUAUAUUCUGUAGCAAGGUUAACCGUAUAGGGGAGCCGCAGGGAAACCGAGUCUUAACUGGGCGUUAAGUUGCAGGGUAUAGACCCGAAACCCGGUGAUCUAGCCAUGGGCAGGUUGAAGGUUGGGUAACACUAACUGGAGGACCGAACCGACUAAUGUUGAAAAAUUAGCGGAUGACUUGUGGCUGGGGGUGAAAGGCCAAUCAAACCGGGAGAUAGCUGGUUCUCCCCGAAAGCUAUUUAGGUAGCGCCUCGUGAAUUCAUCUUCGGGGGUAGAGCACUGUUUCGGCUAGGGGGUCAUCCCGACUUACCAACCCGAUGCAAACUACGAAUACCGAAGAAUGUUAUCACGGGAGACACACGGCGGGUGCUAACGUCCGUCGUGAAGAGGGAAACAACCCAGACCGCCAGCUAAGGUCCCAAAGUCAUGGUUAAGUGGGAAACGAUGUGGGAAGGCACAGACAGCCAGGAUGUUGGCUUAGAAGCAGCCAUCAUUUAAAGAAAGCGUAAUAGCUCACUGGUCGAGUCGGCCUGCGCGGAAGAUGUAACGGGGCUAAACCAUGCACCGAAGCUGCGGCAGCGACACUAUGUGUUGUUGGGUAGGGGAGCGUUCUGUAAGCCUGCGAAGGUGUGCUGUGAGGCAUGCUGGAGGUAUCAGAAGUGCGAAUGCUGACAUAAGUAACGAUAAAGCGGGUGAAAAGCCCGCUCGCCGGAAGACCAAGGGUUCCUGUCCAACGUUAAUCGGGGCAGGGUGAGUCGACCCCUAAGGCGAGGCCGAAAGGCGUAGUCGAUGGGAAACAGGUUAAUAUUCCUGUACUUGGUGUUACUGCGAAGGGGGGACGGAGAAGGCUAUGUUAGCCGGGCGACGGUUGUCCCGGUUUAAGCAUGUAGGCUGGUUGUCCAGGCAAAUCCGGAUAAUCAAGGCUGAGGUGUGAUGACGAGGCACUACGGUGCUGAAGUAACAAAUGCCCUGCUUCCAGGAAAAGCCUCUAAGCAUCAGGUAACAUUAAAUCGUACCCCAAACCGACACAGGUGGUCAGGUAGAGAAUACCAAGGCGCUUGAGAGAACUCGGGUGAAGGAACUAGGCAAAAUGGUGCCGUAACUUCGGGAGAAGGCACGCUGGUGUGUAGGUGAAGCCCCUGCGGGUGGAGCUGAGACCAGUCGAAGAUACCAGCUGGCUGCAACUGUUUAUUAAAAACACAGCACUGUGCAAACACGAAAGUGGACGUAUACGGUGUGACGCCUGCCCGGUGCCGGAAGGUUAAUUGAUGGGGUUAUCCGUAAGGAGAAGCUCUUGAUCGAAGCCCCGGUAAACGGCGGCCGUAACUAUAACGGUCCUAAGGUAGCGAAAUUCCUUGUCGGGUAAGUUCCGACCUGCACGAAUGGCGUAAUGAUGGCCAGGCUGUCUCCACCCGAGACUCAGUGAAAUUGAACUCGCUGUGAAGAUGCAGUGUACCCGCGGCAAGACGGAAAGACCCCGUGAACCUUUACUAUAGCUUGACACUGAACAUUGAGCCUUGAUGUGUAGGAUAGGUGGGAGGCUUUGAAGCGUGGACGCCAGUCUGCGUGGAGCCAACCUUGAAAUACCACCCUUUAAUGUUUGAUGUUCUAACGUUGGCCCCUUACCGGGGUUGCGGACAGUGUCUGGUGGGUAGUUUGACUGGGGCGGUCUCCUCCCAAAGCGUAACGGAGGAGCACGAAGGUUAGCUAAUCCUGGUCGGACAUCAGGAGGUUAGUGCAAUGGCAUAAGCUAGCUUGACUGCGAGCGUGACGGCGCGAGCAGGUGCGAAAGCAGGUCAUAGUGAUCCGGUGGUUCUGAAUGGAAGGGCCAUCGCUCAACGGAUAAAAGGUACUCCGGGGAUAACAGGCUGAUACCGCCCAAGAGUUCAUAUCGACGGCGGUGUUUGGCACCUCGAUGUCGGCUCAUCACAUCCUGGGGCUGAAGUAGGUCCCAAGGGUAUGGCUGUUCGCCAUUUAAAGUGGUACGCGAGCUGGGUUUAGAACGUCGUGAGACAGUUCGGUCCCUAUCUGCCGUGGGCGCUGGAGAAUUGAGGGGGGCUGCUCCUAGUACGAGAGGACCGGAGUGGACGCAUCACUGGUGUUCGGGUUGUCAUGCCAAUGGCACUGCCCGGUAGCUAAAUGCGGAAGAGAUAAGUGCUGAAAGCAUCUAAGCACGAAACUUGCCCCGAGAUGAGUUCUCCCUGAGACUUUAAGUCUCCUGAAGGAACGUUGAAGACGACGACGUUGAUAGGCCGGGUGUGUAAGCGCAGCGAUGCGUUGAGCUAACCGGUACUAAUGAACCGUGAGGCUUAACCUUACAACGCCGAAG